Molecule: ribosomal RNA, 253 nt
Filed under: uncultured bacterium
Lineage: Bacteria
Description: partial 16S ribosomal RNA
Rfam family: Bacterial small subunit ribosomal RNA
Source: RNAcentral
UACAGAGGGUGCAAGCGUUAAUCGGAAUUACUGGGCGUAAAGCGUGCGCAGGCGGUUUUGUAAGUCUGACGUGAAAUCCCCGGGCUUAACCUGGGAAUUGCGUUGGAGACUGCAAGGCUGGAGUCUGGCAGAGGGGGGUAGAAUUCCACGUGUAGCAGUGAAAUGCGUAGAGAUGUGGAGGAACACCGAUGGCGAAGGCAGCCCCCUGGGUCAAGACUGACGCUCAUGCACGAAAGCGUGGGGAGCAAACAGG